CGCUACCCGGUGGGAGAGCGUCACCGGAUCGGUGACCGCCGAAGGAGCAAUACCUCUCCGUCAAUCUCUCAGGCACCCGGACCGCUGGGCUGAC
RNAcentral lists this non-coding RNA (94 nucleotides) under Gordonia araii. RNAcentral's name for it is "Glycine sequence". It matches the Rfam family "Glycine riboswitch aptamer". From Rfam's summary of the family: This family represents the bacterial glycine riboswitch. Glycine riboswitches usually consist of two metabolite-binding aptamers domains with similar structures in tandem. The record is from RNAcentral. Lineage: Bacteria; Bacillati; Actinomycetota; Actinomycetes; Mycobacteriales; Gordoniaceae.